This 64-nucleotide ribosomal RNA is filed under the name Phytophthora capsici. RNAcentral describes it as "partial 28S ribosomal RNA". Lineage: Eukaryota; Oomycota; Peronosporomycetes; Peronosporales; Peronosporaceae. The record is from RNAcentral.
UUGGACCUGAUAUCAGGCAAGAUUACCCGCUGAACUUAAGCAUUCCUAAACAGGGGAGAGAGAA